CGAGUUGGUCAGGCAAUCGCUGGUUUAUUGAAGCUCUCAACCGUUGUUGCGGCGUCACAGUCGCAAAAUAACCUAGAGGACAAGUAGACGAGAGGAAAGUCCGGGCUACAUAGGGCAGAGUGCCGGAUAACGUCCGGGAGGCGUGAGCCUACGACAAGUGCAACAGAGAGCAAACCGCCGAUGGCUUUUUUGAAGCACAGGUAAGGGUGAAAGGGUGCGGUAAGAGCGCACCGGGCGACCGGUAACGGUUCGUUGCAGGGUAAACUCCACUCGUAGCAAGACCAAAUAGGAACUCAAUGGGUGUGCCCGCUCAGAGUUCGGGUAGGUUGCUUGAGCGUUGGUGCAAACCAACGCCUAGAGGAAUGAUUGUCCACGACAGAACCCGGCUUAUCGACCAACUCGACUU
Molecule: RNase P RNA, 406 nt
Rfam family: Bacterial RNase P class A
About the family: Ribonuclease P (RNase P) is a ubiquitous endoribonuclease, found in archaea, bacteria and eukarya as well as chloroplasts and mitochondria. Its best characterised activity is the generation of mature 5'-ends of tRNAs by cleaving the 5'-leader elements of precursor-tRNAs.